Molecule: ribosomal RNA, 419 nt
Filed under: bacterium
Lineage: Bacteria
Description: partial 16S ribosomal RNA
Rfam family: Bacterial small subunit ribosomal RNA
Source: RNAcentral
UGGGGGAUAUUGCACAAUGGGCGAAAGCCUGAUGCAGCGACGCCGCGUGGGGGAUGAAGGCCUUCGGGUUGUAAACUUCUUUUGCUCUGAACAAGGCGCACCAUGGGGUGUGUUGAGUGUAGGGGUUGAUUAGCGCCGGCUAACUACGUGCCAGCAGCCGCGGUAAUACGUAGGGCGCGAGCGUUGUCCGGAAUUAUUGUGCGUAAAGGGCUUGUAGGUGGCUGGUUGCGUCUGUCGUGAAAGCUCAUGGCUUAACUGUGGGUUUGCGGUGGGUACGGGCUGGCUUGAGUGCAGUCGGGGAGGCUGGAAUUCCUGGUGUAGCGGUGGAAUGCGCAGAUAUCAGGAGGAAUACCGGUGGCGAAGGCGGGUCUCUGGGCUGUUACUGACACUGAGGAGCGAAAGCAUGGGGAGCGAACAGG